AAAGUCGUAACAAGGUUUCCGUAGGUGAACCUGCGGAAGGAUCAUUACCAAAAUAUUUCAAUAUUUCAAACCCAUGUGCACGGUGAACGAUUGUCUUGGUUUUUGGGGUGGGCUUUUAACGGUUCACCCCGACCAGUUUUGUCAAACUACUUUUUUAAUUGUCAUGGCAUUGCAACUUAAUAUGUAUAAAUUUAUGACAACUUUUAACGGUGGAUCUCUUGGCUCGU
This 227-nucleotide unclassified non-coding RNA is filed under the name Glomeromycotina sp. Its description in RNAcentral is "partial contains small subunit ribosomal RNA, internal transcribed spacer 1, and 5.8S ribosomal RNA". The stretch from base 1 to 47 matches the Rfam family "Eukaryotic small subunit ribosomal RNA", at positions 1785 to 1831 of the family's 1831-position model. Lineage: Eukaryota; Fungi; Glomeromycota. The record is from RNAcentral.